RNAcentral lists this ribosomal RNA (301 nucleotides) under uncultured bacterium. RNAcentral's name for it is "partial 16S ribosomal RNA". It matches the Rfam family "Bacterial small subunit ribosomal RNA", at positions 509 to 809 of the family's 1533-position model. The record is from RNAcentral.
CAGUAGCCGCGGUAACACGGAGGAUCCAAGCGUUAUCCGGAUUUAUUGGGUUUAAAGGGUGCGUAGGUGGCCUGUUAAGUCAGGGGUGAAAGACGGUAGCUCAACUAUCGCAGUGCCUUUGAUACUGACGGGCUUGAAUGAACUAGAGGUAGGCGGAAUGUGACAAGUAGCGGUGAAAUGCAUAGAUAUGUCACAGAACACCAAUUGCGAAGGCAGCUUACUAUGGUUUUAUUGACACUGAGGCACGAAAGCGUGGGGAUCAAACAGGAUUAGAUACCCCUGUAGUCCCUGUCUCUUAUAA